Molecule: ribosomal RNA, 402 nt
Filed under: uncultured bacterium
Lineage: Bacteria
Description: bacterial SSU rRNA
Rfam family: Bacterial small subunit ribosomal RNA
Source: RNAcentral
GACGAACGCUGGCGGCGCGCUUAACACAUGCAAGUCGAGCGAGAACCGGGACUUCGGUCCCGGGGACAGCGGCGAACGGGUGAGUAACACGUGGGUAAUCAACCCUCGGCACCGGGAUAGCCCGGGGAAACUCGGGUUAAUACCGGAUGGCCCCUCCGACUCUAGGGUCGGUCGGGAAAGGUAGCUUAGGCCUCUGGCCGGGGACGAGCCCGCGGCGGAUUAGCUUGUUGGUGGGGUAAUGGCCUACCAAGGCGACGAUCCGUAGCUGGCUGAGAGGACGAUCAGCCACACUGGGACUGAGACACGGCCCAGACUCCUACGGGAGGCAGCAGUGGGGAAUCUUGCCCAAUGGGCGAAAGCCUGAGGCAGCGACGCCGCGUGAGGGAAGAAGGCCUUCGGUUG